UAUGGAAAAUCGCUAGUCAAAAAUUCCGCCAAAAGUAUUCCCUGUGACGUCACAAUGAACAGUCAUUGUAGUCUGUUCAUUUUGUGAAAAUGGGAUAUUCAUUGAAAUAUGCAUUUAGACGUCUUAUUAGCUAUGUAAAACAUGCAGUGUUUUGCUUUCUAGUAUGACGAAUUAAUUUAUAAAAGUUUACAACGCUAGAAAUUGGCCAUCAUCUCUAUAAGUCGUAUUUUCCUAAAUCCCAGUAUGAUUCUCGCGCAUGCCCACUUCACAAUCAGCGUGUUUCGAAAGCUUGAACGGUGGAAAAAUGGCAGGCAGGUGCGUUGAAAUUAUCUGGAAACAAAGAACGAAAUACAGCCUCCAACACCUCUGUGCAACUUAGUGAUGGGUGGUGAAAUUCCCAAAUCCAACUGAACUUUGUGGUCUUUCUUUUUGAGAUGGAUUGUCUCCUGUCAAAAGAAUUGAUAAGGUGUUAGCAACACAGUGCAACGCAGAAGGCCCUGUUGAAAUUCAAAGUUAAAUUGGAGACUGUUAAGAUUCCCUCUCAGUAGCAUGUCUGUGGUGAUCAUCUCCUGUAAGAGUAGAUCUAUCAAAACUUGCUCCAUCUGCGCUUUUGGCAUUAUCUAGCAAUAAUUGUUCCAUGUUUGAAAGAUGUCUGUCCUGGUCUACUACCAACAAUGGCGGGGUUGAAACGGUUUCAUUUUGAGGUGGAGAAUCACGAACAGCUCCAUUUUGAGCAGGGGAUCCUAGAACAAUGUUUCAAUAAUGAUUACAAGAUUUCAUGCUAUGAGAAGAGGAAGAGCUUUCUUUGUCAGAUGAUUCUACAGCCAUGCAGGCAUUGUGGUUUUGAACAUCCAUAGGAAUAGCAUGCUCAUCUGAAAUAGUUCCAUGUUUGAAAGAUGUCUGUCCUGGUCUACUACCAACAAUGGCGGGGUUGAAACGGUUCCAUUUUGAGGUGGAGAAUCACGAACAGCUCCAUUUUGAGCAGGGGAUCCUAGAACAAUGUUUCAAUAAUGAUUACAAGAUUUCAUGCUGUGGGUAAAGGAAAAUCUUUCUUUGUCUGACAAUUCUUCAUGAGUAGCAACCAUGCAUACAUCUGCAGACAUGCAAGCAUUUUGGUUAUGAAUAUCCUUAAGGCUAUCCUGCUCAUCUGAAAUAGUUCCAUGUUUGAAAGAUGUCUGUCCUGGUCUACUACCAACAAUGGCGGGGUUGAAACGGUUCCAUUUUGAGGUGGAGAAUCACGAACAGCUCCAUUUUGAGCAGGGGAUCCUAGAACAAUGUUUCAAUAAUGAUUACAAGAUUUCAUGCUAUGAGAAGAGGAAGAGCUUUCUUUGUCAGAUGAUUCUACAGCCAUGCAGGCAUUGUGGUUUUGAACAUCCAUAGGAAUAGCAUGCUCAUCUGAAAUAGUUCCAUGUUUGAAAGAUGUCUGUCCUGGUCUACUACCAACAAUGGCGGGGUUGAAACGGUUCCAUUUUGAGGUGGAGAAUCACGAACAGCUCCAUUUUGAGCAGGGGAUCCUAGAACAAUGUUUCAAUAAUGAUUACAAGGUAUAAUUGAUAUUGAUUCUUUUGAUAUUUGAAAAUCAUUGGUUAUCUCUAUUCCAUUGAAUAAAUGAAA
Molecule: long non-coding RNA, 1614 nt
Organism: Magallana angulata
Lineage: Eukaryota; Metazoa; Mollusca; Bivalvia; Ostreida; Ostreidae
Exons: 11
Source: RefSeq, a predicted model, not a curated record